AAGUCGUAACAAGGUUUCCGUAGGUGAACCUGCGGAAGGAUCAUUAAAAAUUUAUAUCCGGGAAUUCGUUUCGUUUUCCCGUGAUUAUUUGUAUUCAAAUCCCACUCUUUAUAAAUAUAUUAAUUAUUAUAUAAAACAAAAAUAAAAAAGAAAACUUUCAACAACGGAUCUCUUGGCUCUC
RNAcentral lists this unclassified non-coding RNA (181 nucleotides) under fungal sp. RNAcentral describes it as "partial internal transcribed spacer region". The stretch from base 1 to 46 matches the Rfam family "Eukaryotic small subunit ribosomal RNA", at positions 1786 to 1831 of the family's 1831-position model. The record is from RNAcentral. Lineage: Eukaryota; Fungi.